RNAcentral lists this transfer RNA (62 nucleotides) under Eurythenes maldoror. Its description in RNAcentral is "tRNA-Ile". The record is from RNAcentral. Lineage: Eukaryota; Metazoa; Arthropoda; Malacostraca; Amphipoda; Lysianassidae.
GUAAAAGUGCCUGAAAAAGGACAGAACUGAUACUUCUGCUAUGUACACUCGUACCUUCUACU